CUCGCACCGGCGCUGGGGUGCAGGCUUUCAGUGGUCUCAGGGCUACGGCUUGUCGGUGCCUCGCCGCACAGUCCCCUUUGCAUUGAAGGACACGGUCUUACGGUGUAGGAGCAUUUUUGAGGUGCAUUCCUGGAUUUGGAGGCGAACCCCCAAUGGUUACCUCCACAGAGGCUUUGCGAAGGGCGCUCACUGACUUAGGUGAAGAGCGAAGGCUCAAGACUGUGCCGCUUUAUAGUGGCCCCUUGACGUCCAGAAGUUCCCCCCAGCGCCGGUCAUAAGCACUCCCGCCGCCUGGGCCCCGCCCUGCCUGCCAGGCGCCCUCCAGCCUCAGCUCCCGGACGCCCGGCGUGGCCGCUUUCUCGCGUCUUGCUGACCCGGGCCGGGGGCGUGUGCUCCUCCUGCAGCGGACGGAAGAUGCUGGGCCACGCAAGUUUCCCUGGGCUUGGUUAACCACCCCAAAGCCCAUUUCCAGAAGGAAAGGGUGUUGAGGAGGAGGGAUAGAAAGUCGAGAAGAGGGCCGGGGUCUUGCUCUGUUGCUCAGGCUGGAGUGAAGUAGAGCAUUCACAGCCCACUGCAACCUUGAACACCUGGGCUCAAGCAAUCCUCCUGCCUCAGCCUCCUGAGUAGCUGGGACCACAGAUGUGUACCACCAUGCCCAGCUACAUGUCUUUCUUUUGGGGGGACAGCAGAAACCUGGGCAGAGGAGGAAUCCUGAUACCCAGUUCUGAAACAAAGUGGCAGAAUUUGUAAUACAGAAGAAGGAUCUUGUGACUGGUAUUCUGUUAUCCACAAGAGUAAAUGUUCCCAAAUAAACAAAACUGGGAUAU
This 827-nucleotide long non-coding RNA is filed under the name Homo sapiens (human). RNAcentral's name for it is "HSALNT0346741". Lineage: Eukaryota; Metazoa; Chordata; Mammalia; Primates; Hominidae. The record is from RNAcentral.